Molecule: long non-coding RNA, 923 nt
Filed under: Danio rerio (zebrafish)
Lineage: Eukaryota; Metazoa; Chordata; Actinopteri; Cypriniformes; Danionidae
Description: lncRNA (ENSDARG00000117508.1)
Source: RNAcentral
CAUUAUUAUCUCAGUUUUCAUCAAUUUACUGCUUAUACUUAUAAUUAUAUUUGAUCUUUUUUUCUAUGUCAGUUGCCAAUGUUGAUCUUUCAACACGCAAGUCCAGGGAGCAGUGGGAGAUUACAGUGUGUAAAACUGCUAUCAGUCCUGUCUUGCAGAAUUUGGACCGAGAAUUAAACAAUGCACAGGAUCUGAUUGCAGCAGAUAACAGACUUUCUAACAGUCCCCUGGUGAAGGUGCUGAGAGGAGAUCCUCAAAGAAUGCUUCAACUACCAGCUAACUGUCCCACCGAGCACUCUGCCUUUUGGAGCCCAUCAUCUGUCCUUGCUGUGGAAAGCAUCUCUCAGCAAAUAGACCAGGCUCAAGCACCUCUGCUCACGCUUUUUGUCCAAAAGGUUUGUUUACUUAACAUUUAACAUUCAACACAACUUUGUCAGAUUACAGUAGCUGUGAAUAUGUUUUUAUGUUGUGUGUGUUUGCAUCAUCAGGUGCAUUAUAUAAGACAGCUGGACUGUUUGCCUGCUCUUGCUGCCCUUUUGUCUGAUUUAAUAAAAGUGCUUCCUCCAGGCUCUGAAACCCAGAACCACACCAUCGCCUCACUGCUGCACUGUAUUCCUGCAGGUCUGUCAUACUCACUGUUGGAGAUAGAUUGUUGAUUGAUUUAUCAAGUAUGUAACAUUGCUGUGCUGUAAUUUGGGUUACUGAAUAUAGGCCACCAGAAGAAACUAAUGUCAGAAAGAGUCGAGAUAUACAUGAAAGUGUGGAACCAACUCAGAAUGGAAAUAUCUAGUAACGGUAAGUUGUUAGAAGUUUACGUCUGUUAUUUAUGUGUGGUGAUGUAUGUAUUCAUAUGUUGAAUUAAGUAUUAUUACCCCCUUUUUAGAUUUGACUGACAACUUAAAAAUAAAAGUAAUCACUAAAAU